RNAcentral lists this unclassified non-coding RNA (272 nucleotides) under Hevea brasiliensis (rubber tree). Lineage: Eukaryota; Viridiplantae; Streptophyta; Magnoliopsida; Malpighiales; Euphorbiaceae. The record is from RNAcentral.
GUGAAACAUGCCUAUUUUUUUUUUCUCCCAGUUUUUCUUACAAGCCAUUAUAAAAUUGGUUAAUUUGUAGAUUGAAGUAGAGUUUCUUACCACGUAUACUUGCUAAUAUAAAUGCUUGGUCCCCUUUUAUUGGAUGGCACAUGCAUGCUUGCAUGAAUAGAAACAAGUUUAACAUCUAUAUGUGCCUUGAUAGAAGCACUGAAUUUAGAGUUAGCAUUUAGUUUCUCUUUUGACUUUUAAUUAAGAAUUUAAAUGAGUUGUCAUUUAUUUUU